Molecule: non-coding RNA, 238 nt
Filed under: Ruminococcus flavefaciens
Lineage: Bacteria; Bacillati; Bacillota; Clostridia; Eubacteriales; Oscillospiraceae
Description: T-box sequence
Rfam family: T-box leader
About the family: Uncharged tRNA acts as the effector for transcription antitermination of genes in the T-box leader family. T-boxes are found upstream of many aminoacyl-tRNA synthetase genes and some amino acid biosynthetic genes usually in Gram-positive bacteria. The anticodon of a specific tRNA base pairs to a specifier sequence within the T-box motif, and the NCCA acceptor tail of the tRNA base pairs to a conserved bulge in the T-box antiterminator hairpin.
Source: RNAcentral
UCAAAGGCGAUGAUGAAGAGGAGUACGUGAGAUACCCGAUUUUCAGAGAGCUGCCGCAUGGUGAAAGGCAGUAUGAGGGGCUUGCGGAAGUAGCUUCGGAGCUUCGCGUGCCAACGGCUUAUGCUCAGUAGUAUGCGGCGUGUUCCUCACGUUACAGGGGAAGAAGCUUAGCGGCUUCGCAGAGUGCGGGAGAUAUUCCCGAAUUCAGGUGGUAACACGGACUUAGUUCGCCCUGAAC